UAGCAUGAACACUGUAGUUGAAAGAUUUCGGAUCAUUCAGCCACGUGUGCUGGCGACUGAAUCAGAGGAUAACUUGUUUCAAGCUGCACUGCAAUUUCAGCAUUAUUACCAAGAUGACAUAUCUUCCGAUUUCGCAGGGCAAUUGGUUAGUUUUCGGAGCGCACUGCAAAAUGAGAUCUCUGAGCUCCACACAGUUAAAGAUUUGGCACACCUGCUUAUAAUUGACAAUGCUGCUUUGUCAUCUACCCUACCGGAUGUAUGUACAGCUUUAAUACUUUUCCUCACAUUACCAGUGACGGUGGCAUCUGCAGAAAGAUCAUUUUCCAAAUUAUCUCUGAUUAAAAAUUACUUGAGAAACAGCAUGUCACAACAACGGCUUUCUGGCCUUGCCCUUCUAAGCAUUGAGAAUGAAAGAGCAAGAAAACUGGACAUUCCAGCUAUUGUUGACAAAUUUGCUGAGUCUAAAGCGAGACGGCGCAACUUCUAGUAAUAUGUAUUUUGCGUAAGUGAGCAGUUUGUUGGGUACAGGGAGUUAUAUUAUCAAAGUUCAUACUAACCCAGUUCAAUUUAUUCAACUUUGGUUGUACUAAACAGUUAACUAGUUUGGUUCUAUUUUAGCUGCCUUCUUUUUGGUAACAAUGAUGCAGAUUAAUAAACAAUUCUGAUGUUGUUAGACUCUAAAACACAACGACCGCCUUUGAACUAUUUGAAUACAGCACUGGUUUCUGCACAACAAAAGCUUAAUAUCAAAAAGAAGGCAGAUGUUACCAACAUCAAAAAUACUUAACAUAAUUACUAAAUGCUACCAUCUCCUUUCCUACAGUGAGAACAAAUUGGUUCCUUUCUACUUGAUGCCUCCUCGUUGGACCUGGCUGGUUAAUUUUGAUGUUUCAUUUGGAUUUCUGUUCUGGUUGAGAAGCACAACUCGUGCUUAUUCACAAUCAAAUUUUGUGAGAACAAAUUGGUUCCUUUCUACUUGAUGCCUCCUCGUUGGACCUGGCUGGUUAAUUUUGAUGUUUCAUUUGGAUUUCUGUUCUGGUUGAGAAGCACAACUCGUGCUUAUUCACAAUCAAAUUUUGUGAGAACAAAUUGGUUCCUUUCUACUUGAUGCCUCCUCGUUGGACCUGGCUGGUUAAUUUUGAUGUUUCAUUUGGAUUUCUGUUCUGGUUAAGAAGCACAACUCGUGCUUAUUCACAAUCAAAUUUUGUGAGAACAAAUUGGUUCCUUUCUACUUGAUGCCUCCUCGUUGGACCUGGCUGGUUAAUUUUGAUGUUUCAUUUGGAUUUCUGUUCUGGUUAAGAAGCAUGACUCGUUCCUUUUCACAUUCAAAUUUUGUGAGAACAAAUUGGUUCCUUUCUACUUGAUGCCUC
Molecule: long non-coding RNA, 1370 nt
Organism: Bufo gargarizans (Asiatic toad)
Lineage: Eukaryota; Metazoa; Chordata; Amphibia; Anura; Bufonidae
Exons: 5
Source: RefSeq, a predicted model, not a curated record